RNAcentral lists this long non-coding RNA (5473 nucleotides) under Accipiter nisus (Eurasian sparrowhawk). RNAcentral's name for it is "lncRNA (ENSANIG00000003290.1)". Lineage: Eukaryota; Metazoa; Chordata; Aves; Accipitriformes; Accipitridae. The record is from RNAcentral.
GUGCAUGAGCAGCUAGUCUGGCUAGUGUGGGUGCAUGCCUAGUGCUGACACCCUUCUCUGCAAUUGAAGACCAGAUGACCUGCAGCCUUCUUGACCAGAGGGAGGCCAAAGCAGUGCGUUCUCAAGGAGGGAAAUAAACUUUAGCCAUGUAUUUAAGAAUGUGUCUUCCAAGACCCAGUUUUAGGAGAAAAAGCUGGCUCAACUCCAAGCCAGGGGUAUUAGAAAUAUCAGCUGUGUGGUUCAGGUCCCAACAAACUGUUACUGAGAGGGGAGAAAAACGUGGGACUGUGAUGUUACACUUUCCCUUCCCCUUCCCUUUCAUUUUUACUGACGAGGUGAGGGAAGUUAGGCAAUUGUUUGCAAGGUUUGGUGCAGUAAUAGCAUCUUUGCUCAGUCUUUUGAGUAGUAAAACAAAGCAGGGAAAUGAUCUAACCGGUUGUUGGCAAAACCACUGCUAAAUGUUUGUUAUCUAGUCGGUGUCCAAACUUGGUAGAUGUGGAGACGCCAGAGAGGUUAUAGACGGAGAUGGGCGCUACUUCAGUGAAGUCACCAAGAGACAAUUACUCGAUCCCUCCUUAUGGCCGUGUACAAAAUGAAAAGGUAUGUGACACUAAGGCCUUAGUAAGCCAGGGAGUAUCAGAGCAGGUGGAACGGGCAGAAGGCGCGGCUUGUGCCAGCAAGCCUCACGGCCUAGCGCUCCAGAGCCGCCUCUGCAGGGAGAUCCGGAAAGACAUGUCAAGCCUCACGGCCCAGCUGACCGGAGGUCUCCGGCCCAGCCUCCAGCGCAGCCCUGGCCCCAGCCGCAGGAAGCCGCAGAGGUGCGCGGAGACAGCAGGCCCCGGCCCCGCGCUGCCCCCCGAGGUGUCGCUCGCUCACCGCUGCUCGCUCGCCGCGGAGGCCCGGCGCGGCCUGGCCCGCCCCAGCCCUCACCGGGGCCUCGGCCUCCUCCGCGCAGACGCCAGCACGCGAGGGAGCGGUCGUACGGAGAGGAGGNNNNNNNNNNNNNNNNNNNNNNNNNNNNNNNNNNNNNNNNNNNNNNNNNNNNNNNNNNNNNCCCCGGCGCGCGGGCCGGGCCGGGCCGGGCCGGGUGGAGCGAAGAGCAGCGGAGCGCGCCGCAGUCGGCGCCGCGCUGCUCCUGCUCCUUCCGUGCCGGCCCCGCCGCCCUGGACCGCAGGAGGAUAGCAUUGUGUUUAAAAUGGAAGUUGACAUAAACGGAGAGUCCAGAACUACCCUAUCCACCCUCCCUGUGCCUCUUGCAGAGGUGAGUCCUGCAGGCAGGAUGGAAGCAGAGAAGCCCCGCUGUUCCAGUACCCCCUGCUCACCAAUGCGACGGACAGUUGCAGGAUAUCAGAUCCUUCACAUGGAUUCUAACUACCUGGUUGGCUUCACGACUGGAGAGGAGCUGCUAAAAUUAGCCCAGAAGUGUACGGGAAGUGAGGAGAAUAAAGGGGAAUCCGGGCCAAACAUGUGCUCCAGACAGCUUGAUUCAGGACUUGCACGUUCUUCCCGUUUGUACAAAACUAGAAGUAGGUACUAUCAGCCAUAUGAGAUCCCAGCAGUAAAUGGAAGGAGGAGGAGACGGAUGCCUAGCUCAGGGGAUAAAUGCACUAAGGCUUUACCGUAUGAACCUUACAAGGCACUUCAUGGUCCCCUGCCUUUUUGCCUUUUAAAAGGUAAAAGGGCUCAUUCGAAAUCCCUGGACUACCUCAAUUUAGACAAAAUGAGCAUUAAGGAACCUGCUGACACAGAAGUGCUACAAUACCAGCUACAACACCUUACCCUUAGAGGGGACCGUAUGUUUACAAGAAAUAACACAUGAGCUAUCAUCUCAAAUUCAGAACCGAUUUCUGAUUACUUCUCUGUUGCUGCAAAAAUCCACUGUUGUAGUGUGCACAUGACUGUCCACAUUGUAGGUGGUUGUAUCAGCUAAAUAUUACCAGAAGGUAAUUUAUUUGAAUAGAAUCUUGGCAAUGCAAUGUGUUACAAGUACUUAGAGGGAGAAAUCUUUCCUGAGCAAGCAGCUUCUGAUGCAAAUUUGACUGCAACUGGUGGAUAUUUCUUUGGACACCUUUAACAAAAAAAUAGCUUUUGAGUUUGGGGGGUGGGAUUUUUUUUUUUUUUUUUGUACAGAUAGAUCUAGUAUUUACAGUAAUUUAACACCAAAAAAUCAGUGAUGUCUGCUUGGUUGUUCCUAAUUUUGGCUUGAUGUUAGAAACUGCUCUUGGAUAAAUACUCAAGUUUAGGAGGUUUUUGGUUUUACUUUUUGUUCCUGUAUUCUACAGUAAAAAGUAUGUAUUAUUUUUUUACAUCAUGAAGAGGGAAGUGAGCUUGGCUAAAUUGGAUUACUUGCUAUUUAAACAAUCCAGUUCAAACAUUUUCAAAUUACGCUUGCACUGGUGAGAUUCAGUCAUGAAACAAACCUUUGCUACUUGAAUCCUAUUAAAUUAUCUUUUAGUUUCUGCAUGGACGUAAUUGUUCUGCCUCCUCUGUUCUAUAAAACUUGUUCUGGAAAAGUAUCUGGGUUAUUAAAAACAAAGCUUUUGGGGAUUGAAGACUUUUUUUGUUGUUAGUGAGAUUUAUUUUUUACAUUGUUAUGACACACAAACAAGGAUUCACUGCGUAUUCCAGUAAAUACACAGAGUGACUGCAUUGGUAUGUCAGUAACGGUUUUGAUUUGAUUUUAAUUCAUUAUUUCUGUAUCAUGUAUAAUAAAUGGAAGGUGUCAAAUAACUUCAGCAUUGCUUUGGAAAUUCAAUUGAUUUGAGGCACUGAAGACUUGAGGUCUGGAGGACUGAUUUUUUUGAGUGCAAGUGAAGUAUUUCUGUAUCAGCAUUGAAGAGAUGAUCCUGGAUUAUUCAACAGAGUAGCUUGAAUACACUAGCUUACUUUUGUUACUUAAGGAUUUUUUUUAUCUGAACAUGACAUCAGAUGCAGCUUUGACAGCUGUAUUCCUAGAUAUAUUUAAAACACUGUAGUAAAUUAUGUUUAAAAAUGAAAAAUAGUUUUCAGACUUUUUGGUUUUUUAGGUGCAAUCUUCUACUGAAGCAGUGUGCAGCUUGGUUUUGGCUGAUGACCUCUGCAGAAGAAGUUAAAUAAGAUCACAUUGUUUUGAAACAAAUUAUUUGAUCAUUUUUUUCUGGUAGAAUUUAGGGGGGGGUUGUUUGUUUAUUGCACAGAACGAAUAGAAAGCACUAGUUAGUGCAUGCGCUGUGGAAAAUGAAGGGUUCUUCUCAUUCUGUACUUGCAUCACAGUUGUAAAUGAAGGCAGCCCUGUAGUCUGCAUUUUGCUGGUUUGAUUAUCUUUUUUUAGGUUUAUUAGAAUCUCUGCAACAAACUGAUGUGUAUUUUUAAAAGUUAACUACACCUGUGUAAAUUUAAUGUAUUGAACAAUGAUAUUGAAAGUAAAAUGUUCCUAUAUAGUCUUUAGUUUGAAAAACAGAAUAUGGUCAGAUGCCAAAGAGAUGGGGGUUUUGUUUAAGGAAUAAACACCACUGUUUAUUGAAAUACCCUAUGACACUGUAUUUCUGGCUGAAAAAUAAAAAGGGUGGUAUAAACACCUGUUGUUGUGGAGUCUUGCUGUGCAGGAAAAAGGACGUUUGAAAAAUACAACUUUAGACCAGGGAUCAUUUAAAAAUUACUUUCAAGCAGGGAUCUUGGACUUUCUGUGAAAUAGAUUGCUUAGGUUUGUUACUUUAUUUCAGGAAAUGGACCAUGCAAUUGUUAAUAUUUUGUGCAUGUUUCUAAUGUCAUCCUGUGCUGUAAUUGAAUAGCGACACUGAGAGAGAGGCUGAUGGCUAUCUAGCCAAGUUCAAACAUAAAAAAUGUGUUAGUACUGCUUCUGGUGAUUUGCUUGUGAAGGUGCUUACACAUGGUAAUAUUGUUUGCUUGACUCAUACACACUUGCAAUUCUCAUAGCAUAUCAUCAUUCGAGAGCUCAAUGUUUUGCAAGUUUGGUUUGUAAUGUUAUCAGAACUCUUAUAUCCAUAAGGAGUUCCUGAUUUUUACCUCCAAAUUAAGCAAAAUCUCAGCCAAAUGAAAGCUUUUGAUCCUGUCUUAUUUUUUCUGCUUAUAAUGUCUUCCAUUAAACUAGUUUAUUAAAAUCAAAGAUGAGAUGGUUCUUCAGACUACUAAAAUGAAAUUGAAUAUGAACAAUACUAACCUUUCAAAGUGAGUUCUCGCUGUUCUUGUAAUAAAUUAAAAGGGGGAAAAAAGGCAUAAAAAAAAGUGUGUCCUUGGUUUAUGUAUCUUCCAGAGGAUUAAAAGAGUGAAGGUAGAAAUGAUACAGUGUAGUAACACAAAUAUUCCACUUAACAGACCAUUAACACCAAAGCAGAUCUGGAAUCAAGUACAAAUGUGUAAGCUGGGAUAUUGAGGCAGAUCUUAAAUUCAGGCACACUGCUAGCAUUUUUUUAAAAAAAUACACUGAAAAAGGAUUGGAGUGAAAUACAUUCUUUCAGUGUUUUCAUUCUUCAUUUCAGGUAUAAACUUGUAACUACUCCUGUCCUGCAGUGUUACGAUUUGUAUUUACAGCUGUACACAGUACCUAACUGACCUUACGGUUUCCUUUACCUUCUCUUUGUCCAUCUAUUGUAUUCUGACAUAGACUCGCUUCUCUUGGGUGAUGAUCUCUCUGGCUGAGCAUGUUUACUUUAGUGGGGAUUGUUAACUGCAGGCUAGGGCUACUAGACAAUAUUGCAAAAUAAGUAGCAGAUGAGCUUUUAGAAUUUUCUAAAACUGCUCUUCUAGAUGUGGGGUUUUUUUCCAGCUGGAAAGACCAGAAGAAUGGAGAAAGGUUGUUAUUAAACUGCUGAAAAUGCAGAUGUUGCUGUCUGGACAUGGAGAAAGGUUCUCAGUGGUUCAGGGCUUGGAGUAUACAUAAUUUCAUUAUUUUGUGGGCAAGUAAGAGAAGAGGACAAGUGUAAUUUUUAAGAAGAAUUACAAGAGAAGAGCAGAAAGGCUAUAAGCUGGAUAAAAACUUCCACUAUCUACAAUAUCUGCAGAAAUGUCAGCUGGUUAGUUUCAGUAAAGUUAGGUGGUAUCAGGCUGUAUAAUUUGCCUUUGAAGAAAUUAAAAAAGCUGUCCGGAACACACAACUGUGGUCUGAAAAAAAAAAACCUAAAUAUGUUUUCAUUUGGUAAAAUACAGGAUUCAGUUUAAAAAAAGAAAAAAAAGGUCUGAAGGUGAAUACUAACCUAAUAUGAAAUUUAUACAUCAAAUGAAUGUUUGUAGUAGGAAGGGAAAUACUACCUAUAAUACAGACUAAGCAAACAAUUGUUAAUGGGUAACAUAACUGUUGUUUCUAAUUUUCAAUGGUACCAAAGAAUCUAAAACACAAAUUAUCCAACAUAAUAAAAUUUUGAUGUUCUAGAUGUUUGGGAGAGUGGUCUGGCUGAAGUCAGUUACUAAUGUUAAACUUAAAGAGGAAUGUAUGCUAAAGAGAAACAAUAGAAAAAAAUGAUCUUCAGUAAGAAUG